GUGUAAUUACAUAAAACAGAAGGUUACUUAAAAGGCAAAAACUAAAGUAGGUGGUAUAAAGCGAAUGUCUAAGAACCCAAAGGUAGGGUGACAUAAUUUAAAAUACUCAAAUGUGGGACAACAGGACAUUGAUUCAGUGUUGAUCUAACUUUACUUAACAAGCACAAUUGUAAGAAGUGAAGUGGCGUAGUGACGCUCUGUGCAGAACAUUUGGUGAUGCAGAAAGGAGAGACCACAUGUGUGGCAGCUUUAUGAAAAUCUGGGAAUAUUUGGCCAAGGAAACAUUUCUGGUUGGUCUCAGGAAAUGUUAAAACAGGGAGACUUUUAAAACAGGAUUGAAUGAAGUAGCAGCAAAUAUGUUGAGUAAGCAACUAAUGAGCACAGAGACCUCCCAAGUUUGAUGAAAUUACCUUAUAUCUUUCAGUCUAAUAUGGAUAUUUACCUGCUUUUGUAGCUCUUCAUCAGAACAAUACAUUUCAAUGCACUAAUCUGGUCUAUGUGCCAAUAUUUUAUAUAUUUUUUAAACACCAUUUUUGUAAGUAGUUAGGUCUACUGUCCUCUUCAAGUAUAGCUGGAACAAAGGUUAUGGAUAUACUGACAAGUUACAUGCCUCUCCGCCCUAACAAUGGGAGUCGUUGUCCACAAAGUGGCACAGUGGGCAGUCUAGUCGUCUAAACCUCACGUAGCAAAUAAGUCAUACAUUUUUUUUGUUCUCCAAAUUCAACACUCUCUCAUUGACUGCCAUUACAAAACUCCUUGCUUCAUGGAAAAAAAGAAAAAAAAACACCACCUGCUUAAGGGAAGCAUAUUUUCCGCCGAGUUGGGCAUCUCUCUUCCUCUUUGGCUGAAAUUGAGUACCACAGUAUGAGUCAUAAUACCCAUACAACCUAGCAUUUAAACAAGGAAAUGGUUCCAAUAGUUUUUCCACCUUUCAUUUUUCCAUGAGGGAUUUUAUAAUGACUUCAUAUAAGGUCUGUGUUUCGUGUAGGCUUACCCUGUCUUGACGUUUUGAUAACCACGUAAAUCUCUCUCGGACAAGGUAACUUUUAUCAAUAUAUUUGCCUGUAAUUACCCCCCAAAAAUGAAAUGCUAAUUAGCCUCUAAUGUGGCUAUCAUUCAGAACUACAGAUCCUGUCACAAGCUUUGAAUUCAUUACUCAAGGCAGUGUUGCAGGGAGGGAAAAACCUCACCAUUUCUCCACGCUAAAUCUCAGGAACAAGUAGCAAGGAACCUUCAAGUAAAGUAUAACAUAAUAACUGAUAGAUAUUAUAGUCUUUUUGUAGUUUCUCGUUUAAAUAAUUUAUAUUGUGUAUUUAUCAUGUGCACUGCUGUUUAGCAUAUUUAAAAAACCUACCUUAGCACGUUUUAUUACUAGAAUUGUUUAAAUUACCCUGGCCUUUGUAGCUAACUAGCUAACCUUAGGUCUCUCUGUCGAUCAGAAGCAAGGGUGGUUCUGUGCUAUGUAACCACUACUCCAGAUUGUAACCACUACUCCGAUAAGCAUGCAUGUGUAUUUGAUCAUUUUCCGACCUCUGUAAGAGAGAGGCAUCGCUGGAGCCGUGUGAUAAGACUGGCGGACUGGAAACCCAGUGACAACACUUGGGUCUGCAGCUGCCAUUUUCAGUUGGGAAAGAGAAAUGGCCCUGUAUUUUGCAGAAAAAGUAGCUCAUCCACCAUGCCAGAAGAGAAACAUCCAGACACAUCCACCAUGGCAGACAAUGAAGUUCCAGGCCCCUCGGCCACCGAAGAAUGUUGGAGACUGCUGUCUGCACAGUUGCAGAAUGUUCUCACUGAGGUACAUCUUGAGGAAACAUUAGCACAGUUGAAGGUUCUACACGAGAAUCAGCUGUAUACCUGCAACUGGUAUUCAGCAUCACAUUUGUCUGAUAAAAUACUUAGGGUGGAAACAGUACUUCCAGACAAAGGCAUGUUCAACAUCGUUGUUGAAUACUUUGAACGUUGCAAGGACUGCGUUGUCUGCUUUGCCAAGUGGAGUGUUAAGGUGCUGUCAUUUGAGGAUCAAGUGUUUAUGGCGCUUAUGAAGUUGUGUCACAGCUACACCAACUUGCACCUGGCUCAAUUAUUCCGUUGUAGUGCAAGCACUGUCAGCAAUGUUACCAACACUUUAAUUCAAUUGAUUCACGUAAUCCAGCUUUUUUUCUUUAUCACCAUGAAGACUGUUCGGGAGAAGAACCAAACCUGCUUGCCUGCGUCUUUUCAGGGGUCCAGCAGAAACUGCAGAUGGUCAUUGACUGUACUGACAUAAAAUAUAACCUGUUCUGGGAGGAGCCUAGUGUGUGUGUGUCUGAACAAUGUGGAAUAUUUUUGGACCUUUGGAUUGGAAUAAAUCCUCAUGGUAAGACAAAAAUGUAUUUGUGUGCAAAAACUAUUUACAAGAUAUUUACAAAUGUUCACUGUUGCAGUGCCAACUUUGGAUGCAUGUGGUCCUCGAAAAACUCCUCUAGUCCAGCAAUAUUAGUCUGCCAGAGGUCGUCACGCUGGAUGGGGAUGGUGAUGGAAGCUUUGGUGGUCCACAAAACGAAGAAGCAAGUGUCCCUUCCAGUGAUGUGGAACUUCCCUUCGACCUGGUGCCAGUAAGGAUGGUCUCCAUGUAGGCAGUAAGACCCUCCCUCCUCCUGGAUAUAGAAAUCCUUCGACUUCACUGCCUUUUCAAUGGUAAGGUCCCUUGCACCAUAGGGACACUUGACCUCCACCACUGCUGUGGUGCCCACCAAACCAUCCGGUGAGACACCCAGGAUCCCAGACCCUGUGACCAAAAACCCUGACUCCUGCACAUUCAUCCCUGUAGCCAUUUUGAAUGCCUUGAUGCCCUCUUCAUUAUCUGUACCCCACUUUACAGACAACACCCCAUCCAAUGACUGUGAUCUGAGGACCCUUUUUUAGCAGAGAUGGAGUAACUGGCAGCCAACCUCCCUCUCCUUAUGGUGUACCAGUUUGGUUUGGUGUGCUGUCCUACAGUUGCCUGCCGUAGAGCCUCCUACAGCUCCACCGACAGUGCCAUGCCAGCCAGGAUGCCUGCAUGCCCCAGGUGGCCUUUUUUUAAACAAUGUCCAGUACAGACAAAGGUGACAGGGAGGGUAGCGGUUGUUCUGGCUCAGGUUCAAAGAGACAUGCCAUUCCACUAAACCUGCCCCGGAAACGGUUCCUUAGCUUGUACUUUUCGUCCGGCUGCAGGUCCUCAACUGACUGCACCUGGUUGGGCACGGCUGGCUUCCUCCACUCGCAUUCCACAUCCGUACAGCCGAUAUUGUGAACUGCAAAAAUAGCCAAUGCCGCUGUAUAGCUACACUUAUGAGCUCCACGGGGGCAUUUGCAUGUGGUAGAGGCAAUCCCCUGGUCACCUAUAGAGACCUGCCAAGAGGAAGGAGGUUAAGUGCCAGAUGCCUUUCAAUACAUGACUUUGAACACCUCGAAAUACAUUUGUUGUAAGAAAUGUGCUAUAUAAAUAAAGUUUCAUUUGAUUGAUGACAUUACAGCUGUAGAAUAUUUCAUUAACUGUAAUUUUCACAUGAGGACAAGUUUUUCCAUAAACUUUUAAUUGAUAACUUGGGAUUUUAUCACUUGACAUAUCAUUCAUACAGUGGGAAGGAUCCUAUAAAUCAAGACAGUGUGAAUGCAUGUACCACUCUGAAUAAAUAGAUACUGUGCCUUUGAA
Non-coding RNA from Salmo salar (Atlantic salmon), 3676 nucleotides. NCBI's taxonomy places the organism in Eukaryota, Metazoa, Chordata, Actinopteri, Salmoniformes, Salmonidae. The record is from RefSeq and is a predicted model, not a curated record.